Molecule: ribosomal RNA, 250 nt
Filed under: uncultured bacterium
Lineage: Bacteria
Description: partial 16S ribosomal RNA
Rfam family: Bacterial small subunit ribosomal RNA
Source: RNAcentral
UAAGGAAUAUUGGUCAAUGGGCGCAAGCCUGAACCAGCCAUCCUGCGUGCAGGAAGAAGGCCCUAUGGGUUGUAAACUGCUUUUGUCAGGGAAUAAACCUGUGGAUUUAUCCGCAGCUGAAGGUACCUGAAGAAUAAGCACCGGCUAACUCCGUGCCAGCAGCCGCGGUAAUACGGAGGGUGCAAGCGUUAUCCGGAAUUACUGGGUUUAAAGGGUGCGUAGGCGGCCCUGUAAGUCAGGAGUGAAAGUU